CGAUCUCCUUCUUCCCUUUCCCCUCCUCCGCUCGAGGGAAGAUGUCAGAGGGUUAAAAUGUCCUGCUCGCCCUCUCCCUUGAUCUCGGGGAGAGAGGUAAGAGUUGCUGGCACCUUUAUGGGACUCAGACCUGCGGCGGCUGCGGGAAGCGUCGGCCCCCGCUAACUUUGAUCGGCCUUAUUCAUCCCAGCUGCGCUCUAUUUGUUUGUCAUUUCGCCUUUUUACUCCCCGAAUCGUUAUUUAUGGUCUGAAAAGUGAAACGCGCGGUGAUUUGCCUUUACAUGGACUCUUUGCAAACGGGGGUAGACACCUCCUCCCCUCCCCCUCCCCGCGAGGGGGGGCUGCCAAAAGAGAGGGGGGAAAAAACCUGUCUCAAUCAUUAUCAAAUCAGCUUUGAAUUCAUUACUCCAGAGCAUUAACUAAUUACCAGAUCAGAGAGAAGAAAAAAUAAAUAUCCCUUUAAAUAACUGAAGGCAUUCUUUAAGAGCCCGAGCAGCAACAAUAUCCACACAGCCGCCGAACAAGGAGCAAUAAGAUUUUUUUUUUUUAUUUUUGUCUCCUGCACAAAUAUUCGGGAGUAUUUUGAAAUCCCCCGUCACGGAGGACACAAGACGGAGUGGAAAAGUGACUUUUUCUGCCUGUGUGCUUUCCUGCCUUUCCGAGACCAGCAGGGCAGGGGUGGCACCUCCCACCCUCAAUCCCUAAAUCCCGAAAGGAUCCAGGUUCACGGUGACCACCCCCGGGGCCGAGUGGCCACGUCCCUCUGUCCCUUACUCUGCUCUAGGAAAAUGCAGCCGUCUCGCCUGCCUCUCUGUUACAGGGGCUGAGCAAGUCGGGGACAAGUACGUGAGUGGAGAGGGGAGAGAAAUGCAGAUGCCCAUUGCGCUUUGCAUUAACUUUUCCCUUAGCCGGGCCCGUUUCCCUCCAGCCGAGAGCUGGUGCGCAGCAGCAGUUCUCAUGUCUGUCUGUCUGUCUGUCCGCUGCUGGCCUGGGCUGCGUGUUACCUCCGUCCGUCCCCAUCCCUUUCCUCAGCCUCCAGCCAAACAAAGGGAGAGAGGAAAAAAGCAGCCCAGGAAGUGUAAAGUGGAAAGCGACCCUCUUCCUAUUUGACGACAGCGCCAAUUCCUCCGGGAUCCCACCUGAGAUUAAAGCCCGAAUUUCAAUAAAUCAGCUCUAAUGAAACCUCUGGCCCCGAAG
Molecule: long non-coding RNA, 1197 nt
Filed under: Cyanistes caeruleus (blue tit)
Lineage: Eukaryota; Metazoa; Chordata; Aves; Passeriformes; Paridae
Description: lncRNA (ENSCCEG00000013993.1)
Source: RNAcentral